This 4167-nucleotide ribosomal RNA is filed under the name Triticum aestivum (bread wheat). RNAcentral describes it as "partial small subunit ribosomal RNA". The record is from RNAcentral. Lineage: Eukaryota; Viridiplantae; Streptophyta; Magnoliopsida; Poales; Poaceae.
CGUCACCCGUGCAACCAACCCCCACCUCUCUUUCGUCUCAGUUUUUGAGACCAAAGGGCCGUCCGUGGCUCUCCCCCUCUUAAGAGCCCCUUUUUUCCUAUUUCGCUGCCUGUCCCUCCCUCCUUAGGGUAAUCGCGUUCCCUUAAAUCCUCCUAAAGCUAAAUCAAAUCCGCGCGCGUGGUGCUAAUUUGUUUAGUUUUCUUAGCCUUUCCGUUCCGGAACGCGUGGCAUCUUUAACGGGGCGGUCGGUCGCGGUGGUAGGUAGUGGUAAGUGGUAAGUGCUCGUCGUCGCGCCUCGUGGGUCGUUCCUUCGGGGGGCAAGGGAGAGAGAGAUGCAGAGAGCCAGAGAGGAGGAGGGCGGCGGCGGCGGCGCGGCACGGACUCUAAACCGGGCUGCUCCUCCUCCUCCUCCUCCUCCUCCGCCUCCGCCAACACGGCCAGCAAAGAACCUCCCCCCCACCUCCCCCGCCCGAACGACGGUACCGCCGCCCGACCCGAACCGUGUCCUAGUCGAUUAGACUUGUCAGCAACCAACGAGAACCCUGCUUAUAACAAGUAACCCACCACCGUAUAAGAGACUAUUGAAGAGUACAGACCACUAGUAGCUUUCGUUUGUGUAAGGUGACCUUUAGUAAAGGACACUGUUCGUUAAGGAUCAAAAUCCCGUUUAGAGGAAACCGCCACUUGUAAAGUCUGUCACUGACAAGACAUCAAGAAGACCUUAGAGGGAACCGUGACUUGUAAAGUCUGUCGCUGACAAGACGUCAAGAAGACCUUAGAGGGAACCGUGACUUGUAAAGUCUGUCGCUGACAAGACGUCAAGAGACCCGUUUAGAGGAAACCGCUUUGGAUGGUCAUCAAGCCCCGUUUAGAGGAAAACCGUUUUGGAUGGAUAUCAAGCCGUUUAGAGGAAACCGUUUAGAUGGAUCAAGAAGACUAGAGGAAGGAAUGUAUAAGAAAACGAAGGUUAAUCGAAAUCGAUAUCUAACGAUAGAACCGUGUAGAGGUGGCCGUUGAUCCGACCCGUUUAGAGGAAACCGUGGUUUAGAAUGACAAAGAAUAAACGAUAGACCCGUUUAGAGGAAACCGCCAAUGACAAUGAAAUAGUCCCUAGGAAACCGUAAUCGUGAGUUCACACGACUGGAAUGUGAACGACAAGUCUCUGCCAAGAAAUCAAAUAAUGUAGUAGUGUCUUGUGUCGAACAAUGUUUUUCCCGAACGUCUGUACCUAGACAAACAUUAACUAAGUCUGUCACUCAGUAUGUCACCUUGCUCACUGUCACUCCUGGUUCUUACACUUAAAUGUCUGGUACGUGUCUCGUAGAAUAGUUCGAACCUGCUCUCGUAGCCGUUCUAACUACUAAAGGAAUGAAAACUUUCUCCGAAAGAAGUACCCCUGUAUCAGACGGGACACAGACUGGGGAGUCCAGUCAACCCGGCGCAACAACCCCAACUUUACAAACACCUGAACCUCUGUAUGAGACCACUAUAUUAUCUUCUACAGUUGUCGUUCGUCGAAAGUUCUCACUCUAGGAAACAGAGACCACUGACGCACCAAUACCCUGGUACCUAACCCGCCCACUAGUCCCGUAAACUGGACCAGUGGCAACACAAGUCACUACCCCGUUUCACACUUUACGACAAUUCCCUGAGACUCCAUGACUUCGGGUAAGGAGGUAAGUAGAAACUUCUACGUGGAAUAAAAAUAAUAGGUUCAGUUGCGCACUCCUAACAAGUAGGGAGGCACAGGUUCAGUCCUUGUACCAACAGACCUAGUACCUCCCGGUCGGCUCUACUUCCACAACACAGAGUACAACUACACCCCGACCACGUACACUUGACCUAUUGGAGACACCGUUUACAAACCCCACUGGCUAGUAGUUCAGGUGGUUUGAAAGUCCUGGGUUUCUUAGAGUGAAACGACAGUACGAAGGGAAUACGAUUGACCGUCAACCCACUAACCACGUGGGAGAGACGACCAGUACUACCUUCAGAGGGUUCACUUCUGGCAUUCACAAGAGCUAUAAGAGUUUGAAUACAACAACGAUUCUGUUUCUCGUGAAAACUGCAAGAUACCGUUUUACCUUCGUAUAGAGAACCCGAUCUUGGAAUAUAGAACCGAGGACAAUCGUGGGGGCCACUAGUACUAAAAACCGGUCCCGUUAAACAAGACCUCUUUGACCGUCAUCUCCUUCGACGACUUGCAGUCGCCUAACCCUAUCACUCUUUACACCUACGUGAACUCGCCUGACAUUUGCAUUUUACCUAACAAGGUCACCUACUACUGUAACAGUCUAUACCUUCACUGGGGUGACUCCUCUGUCACUCACGAAUACUCGAUCAUCUCGUGGGUCUAAAGAGAAAAACGUGACCCCUUCAGCAAUAGUCUAGUCGAGACUUGUAGCUGUUCAGACUUCGUCUAGAGUGGUUACCUUGGUACUGUCAAUCGUCCUUUUCAAAUCUAUGGAGGAGGCCGAAGAACAGUACGUAACCGUUACAAGAACCCAUAUUCCUACUACCUUAACUUCAUGUUACCCGAUCACCACACUAUAGGUUCCGUGUCGUAAAACUUUAUUAACCUAAUCUUUCUGAAGAUCUAUUAAGUGAUCUUAGACACUUACUCCACGUAUGAAGACAGCUGCUGCUCCGACUCGUCCUUUGUUUAGUGGUACUCUCAUGAUUCUUACGGGACCUUCUCAGACCACUUCUGACGUGACCAAGUAACGCGUUACGAAAGAUGAAGAGGUUUUGUCGAAAGCUAAAAGACUGUUUACACCGAAGAUCAAAGAAACCACGAGUACUAAGAUGUAGUAGAUCGAGUUAAUGAUGUCUAGGAGUCAUAGUUUAACACUUCAGUCGUCUAGAUGUAAGUAGACGUCUUCUUAAAAGGCAACACCUCAACCACUACGUCUGGCUCUUCGGUGUCAAUGGAAGUCUUUUACUGCAUUUUUAUAAACUACAACACCACCUGACAAGACUAGUAGUAAAACACUUCCUUGCACCGGUGCUUUUACAAUUUUCUCCAACCGACUUCUUCUAUGUUGUCCUUACCUGUUAGAAUGUUUUACUAAAUGGUCUACUAUAGGUACAAUCUCAAAUACUCCUUUCCUACCUGGAAGACUCCCGAACGUAACAACCCCGUCGACCUUGCGGAAUAGUACUAUUAAAUAAAAAGAAACUAUAAAAGAAGGGCGGCCUAAUAGGAGUACUUGGUGGAAGGCAAGUGAUAGUGAGGCCUCCGGAGGCGGAGUUGGGUUUGAACAUGCUUUGGCCGUUUCAUACAGAUUCGGAAGACUUCUGUACCCGUCCCUGACCAUUACUCCACACCUUAGGCCUCCCGAGCUGACAAGAAGUUGACGACGAUAGAGAAGUCCGAGAACAAGAGUUGCUCUUCGGAAUGAAGUUACUCCGCCCGAUGCUGUUUAAACACCCCUUUCGACUGCCCCUCUUCUUGAGGUAGUGCAUGUUGCUCUUACGAAAGAACGACAGAACGUUCAGGUACUACAUGUAAAACGUGUUUGGUGGUUUCGUAAAACUUUUAAAGCAGUUCCUCGUGAAGUGAACGGCGCGCGGCGUGUAGGACCUUCGGACGUUGCGUAUGGAGCCGCCGCUAGAGCAGCCAGUACGAACGCUGUCGUGCAUGUAUAGUCUACUACCGACGUUCUCGACGAGCUGGCCUAAGUUCUAGUACGAACCGUUCGUUGACGGCUUCGAGCAGCGGCGGAAGAGGCUUCGGCCCUAGCGGACACCGGUCACUGAAGUCUCGCCCGUGUGGACGUACCGCCACCGCCACUGCUGUGCGGGUGACGCUGUGACCAUAACAUAUCCAAAACGUUAUUUUUACGACGGACCGUGUACUAGGAACACAACACAUUACCGUAGAACAUUCUACCCUUUUGAACACGUACUAACUGCGCUACUUGACUUUCCCACGGUCUACUCUCUGUCUUCGUCGACCACACAUCAAACCAAACACUUUAACACGGAGACAUCUCACACUACCUUCAUACAUUUAAACACACACCCACAACUCUAUCGUUCAUGGGACAGACAUAUCAACCGUCUCCUCGAUAGACUACACGGACGUUAUUAUGGUGUCACACUUUGUGUGUAACGAUUUAAUGACGAUGAACAUGAAAUGAACCAUAGUGGGACUCCAAAAGUACA